Molecule: ribosomal RNA, 1278 nt
Filed under: Triticum aestivum (bread wheat)
Lineage: Eukaryota; Viridiplantae; Streptophyta; Magnoliopsida; Poales; Poaceae
Description: partial small subunit ribosomal RNA
Source: RNAcentral
AUGGGGAACUGCUGGGGCACGCGGAUCAAGGAUGGGAGCACCCACCCGGGCGCCUCAGGAAUGUUCUCAAGGGGUAGUGGUAAAGAUGGGAGUAGGCUUAGUGCCUGCAGCAGUCGAGCUUCUUCAGCUUCCAUGCCUCCAAGUGCAAAGACUGAAUGUGAGAUCUUGCAAUCAGCCAAUGUUAAGGUCUUCAGUUAUAAUGAUCUCAGGUUAGCCACAAGGAACUUCCGUCCUGACAGUAUGCUCGGCGAAGGAGGGUUUGGAUCUGUCUACAAAGGAUGGAUUGAUGAGCAUACAUUGUCAGCUUGCAAACCUGGUACUGGAAUACCUGUUGCUGUGAAAAGACUCAACCUGGAGGGUUUGCAAGGGCACCGAGAGUGGUUGGCUGAAGUUAAUUACCUAGGUCAGUUUUGCCAUACCAACCUUGUGAAGCUAAUUGGGUACUGCUUAGAGGAUGAACACAGGCUCCUAGUGUACGAGUGCAUGCCACGUGGGAGCUUGGAAAAUCAUCUUUUCAGGAGGGGCUCACACUUUCAACCUCUUUCAUGGAACCUAAGAAUGAAGGUUGCACUCGGAGCUGCUAAAGGACUAGCCUACCUUCACAGUGCAGAGGCUAAAGUUAUUUAUAGAGAUUUUAAGACAUCCAAUAUUCUCCUUGACACAGACUAUACCGCAAAACUCUCUGAUUUUGGAUUGGCAAAGGAUGGCCCUGUUGGUGAGAAGAGUCAUGUGUCCACAAGGGUAAUGGGAACAUAUGGUUAUGCAGCUCCAGAAUAUCUCUCAACAGGCCAUCUCACUGCCAAGAGCGACAUCUAUAGCUUCGGGGUAGUGCUUCUGGAGAUGCUGUCAGGCCGUCGCGCCAUUGACAAGAACCGUCCCCAGGGCGAGCACAACCUUGUCGAAUGGGCCCGGCCAUAUCUCACACACAAGCGCAAGAUUUUCCGUGUCCUUGAUACCAGGCUAGAAGGCCAGUACUCCCUGAACGGAGCCCAGACAAUCGCUGCACUGGCUGUCGAGUGCCUGUCCUUCGAAGCUAAGAUGAGGCCGUCCAUGGACGCCGUGGUCUCUAUUCUGGAAGGGAUACAAGACUCCAGCGACCCAACCAGAAGACCGGCAGAUCCAACCAGAAGACCGGCUGCAGAGAGGCCUCAAGACCCCAAGAGUGGAAGCAAAACGGCGCCCGGCGCAAGCAACAGCGGCAAAGGUCGCCGCAAAAGCUCGGGAGACCUUCUGAAGGAGCCUGGCCGAGACCCAAAGCCGUCGGCCUACUCGUCGUAG